Molecule: ribosomal RNA, 498 nt
Filed under: uncultured bacterium
Lineage: Bacteria
Description: partial 16S ribosomal RNA
Rfam family: Bacterial small subunit ribosomal RNA
Source: RNAcentral
AUUGAACGCUGGCGGCAUGCUUUACACAUGCAAGUCGAACGGCAGCGCGGGGCAACCUGGCGGCGAGUGGCGAACGGGUGAGUAAUACAUCGGAACGUACCCAGAAGUGGGGGAUAACGUAGCGAAAGUUACGCUAAUACCGCAUACGUUCUACGGAAGAAAGUGGGGGACCUUCGGGCCUCAUGCUUUUGGAGCGGCCGAUGUCUGAUUAGCUAGUUGGUGAGGUAAAGGCUUACCAAGGCGACGAUCAGUAGCUGGUCUGAGAGGACGACCAGCCACACUGGGACCGAGACAUGGCCCAGACUCCUACGGGAGGCAGCAGUGGGGAAUUUUGGACAAUGGGCGCAAGCCUGAUCCAGCAAUGCCGCGUGAGUGAAGAAGGCCUUCGGGUUGUAAAGCUCUUUUGUCAGGGAAGAAACGGCUGGGGUUAAUACCUUCGGCUAAUGACGGUACCUGAAGAAUAAGCACCGGCUAACUACGUGCCAGCAGCCGCCGCGG